CCUACGGGUGGCAGCAGUGAGGAAUAUUGGUCAAUGGACGAGAGUCUGAACCAGCCAAGUAGCGUGAAGGAUGACUGCCCUAUGGGUUGUAAACUUCUUUUAUAUGGGAAUAAAAUGUUCCACGUGUGGGAUUUUGUAUGUACCAUAUGAAUAAGGAUCGGCUAACUCCGUGCCAGCAGCCGCGGUAAUACGGAGGAUCCGAGCGUUAUCCGGAUUUAUUGGGUUUAAAGGGAGCGUAGGUGGGUUGUUAAGUCAGUUGUGAAAGUGUGCGGCUCACCCGUAAAAGUGCAGUUGAAACUGGCAGUCUUGAGUACAGUAGAGGUGGGCGGAAUUCGUGGCGUAGCGGUGAAAUGCGUAGA
RNAcentral lists this ribosomal RNA (359 nucleotides) under uncultured bacterium. RNAcentral describes it as "partial 16S ribosomal RNA". It matches the Rfam family "Bacterial small subunit ribosomal RNA", at positions 338 to 694 of the family's 1533-position model. The record is from RNAcentral.